Non-coding RNA from Miniopterus natalensis, 1770 nucleotides. The record is from RefSeq and is a predicted model, not a curated record. NCBI's taxonomy places the organism in Eukaryota, Metazoa, Chordata, Mammalia, Chiroptera, Miniopteridae.
UAGGGGAGGAGAAUAUAAGCCAGUGGUUCUCAAACCUGACUGCACAUGAGAAUCAGCUGGGUAGGUCUUAAAAAUGCAGAUGCCCAGACCAAACUCCAGGCAAAUCCCACCGGGUUCUCUGAGGGCAUCAGUGGCUGCCUAAGCUCCCCAGCUGCGUUCACUGUGCAACCAGCUGGGGAAUCACUGGUGCAAGUAGAUAUAAGUUACUAGUAGCUUUCUGCUGCCUUAGAUUGGUUGUAGGUUCAAGGGGGUUCAUUCUAUUAGUCUAUUUUAUGACUCACAUGUGCUAUACGUGUUAUUUUAUGUAUCAACUAUUCCAUUUCAAAGAUAAUGAAACAUGGCCACAAGUUCGUUUUCUCUUCUUUCGUUUUCCCAUUCUCUUCAUUUUUUCCUUCCCUUUAUUCAUCCGUUCCUUUAUUCCUUUCUGUUUUUCCUGAAUGCAGUAUAGUAUCCUGCUGAACAUCGUGGCCUGUGCAUUCCAACCUACACCGUGCUGGUUGUGGGGUCUUGGGCAGGUCACCUCAUCUCUCAGCAUCCUCAUCUGUGAAGGCUGCCUUUGUGAGAGGAAAUGGAGAUUUAAGCUGCGAGCACCCAGGAGUAGAGCACCUGGUACAUCUCAGCAUGGGAGGAGAAAACAGGAAUGGGGAGAUGACACAGACGCAGCUCCCCACUGGCUGAAAUGUGACGGCGCUGGAGGCCGUGCAUGCCCUCGCUUAAUUAGCAGGUGGCAUUGCCAAGGCACACGUAUCUACCCUGGGUUUUAAGCAUUUCAACAUCAGCCACUCCAGCUUCUCACCUGGGCGAGGCUCCCACCCACUCUGACGACAAAGGAUGCAGAAGUAGACAGUCAAUGUCUAAAAGUCUGGUCUGAGGAAGCUCAGUAAGUGAUCAUGGAACUGAAUGGACUAAAGGAAGCCACCUUUCUACUUUCAUAUUCUCCAAUUUACUAAGAAGGGUAGUUGGCUGUGACAAUGCCAGUGACAUGGUUGGGUUUCCUCAGAGCGUUUUUCCCGAGGCUGUCCACGUGGGCCCAAGGAUGAGGCGAAGUUUCUCCCUAGUCUCUACUCUGUGCUGUUUAAAUGCCCAAAGUACUAUUUUCACCCAGGAACUGAAAAAAAAAUGUUCCAAUAUUUAGCUGUAGCGUGCUGCUCUGUUUUCCCGGGACAGCCUGCUGGCGGAUGUCGCCGUUUCCUCAACCAGGGAGCUGCAGCAGACGGGCCGGCCGGGGGCGCUUCGCACCCGGGGGAGCUGGCGCAACAAGGCCCAUUUGGCACGUUUAAUCCUGCUGAAAGCCUGGCAGUUGGAGAGGUGACAUCAUUGGAGUCAAUUACCCCCACAAUUGCCAGGACUGGGUAGAAAUAACUCAGGAAAUCGCUGCAUAAUCACCGCGCCAUCCAUCCAGGGCUGCCUGCCUGCCAGCCAGCGCGCCGACUGCCUGAUUCACAUUAACGCGCUGAGACCUCGCAGCAGCCCCGAGAGCAGUUAGCAUUGUUACCAUCCGCUUGUACAGACGAGACAACUGAGGCUCGGAGAGGCGCGGUGUGGUAGGCUGAGCCAUGGUCUCCGAAGAGAUCAGGUCCUAAUCCCUGGACAUUCCAUGUGACCUUAUUUGGAAAAAAGGGUCUUCGCAGGCGUGAUUAAGGGAAGGAUCUUGAGAUGGAGAAAUUAUCCUGUAUUAUUUGGGGCAGCCCUAAAUGCCAUCACAAGUGUCCUCCUAAGAGAGAAAGAGAGGGAGACUUCACACACAGAGGAGAAGACCAGGUGAAGACA